CAAUGGGGCNNCNAAGCCUNGAUGCAGCGACGCCNNCGUGNAGGGAUGACGGCCUUUCGGGUNNNNAAACNUNUUUCANNNGGGACGAAGCGCAAGNNGACGGUACCUAUAGAAGAAGGACNNGGCCAANUANNNGNNNNNNNGCCNNCGGUAAUACGUAGGNUCCGAGCGUUNUCCGGAAUUACUGGGCGUAAAGAGNUCGUAGGUGGUUUGUCGCGUUGUUCGUGAAAACUCACAGCUUAACUGUGGGCGUGCGGGCGAUACGGGCAGACUAGAGUACUGCAGGGGAGACUGGAAUUCCUGGUGUAGCGGUGGAAUGCGCAGAUAUCAGGAGGAACACCGGUGGCGAAGGCGGGUCUCUGGGCAGUAACUGACGCUGAGGAGCGAAAGCGUGGGGAGCGAACAGGAUUAGAUACCCUGGUAGUCCACGCCGUAAACGGUGGGUACUAGGUGUGGGUUUCCUUCCUUGGGAUCCGUGCCGUAGCUAACGCAUUAAGUACCCCGCCUGGGGAGUACGGCCGCAAGGCUAAAACUCAAAGGAAUUGACGGGGGCCCGCACAAGCGGCGGAGCAUGUGGAUUAAUUCGAUGCAACGCGAAGAACCUUACCUGGGUUUGACAUGCACAGGACGCCAGUAGAGAUAUUGGUUCCCUUGUGGCCUGUGUGCAGGUGGUGCAUGGCUGUCGUCAGCUCGUGUCGUGAGAUGUUGGGUUAAGUCCCGCAACGAGCGCAACCCUUGUCUCAUGUUGCCAGCACGUUAUGGUGGGGACUCGUGAGAGACUGCCGGGGUCAACUCGGAGGAAGGUGGGGAUGACGUCAAGUCAUCAUGCCCCUUAUGUCCAGGGCUUCACACAUGCUACAAUGGCCGGUACAAAGGGCUGCGAUGCCGUGAGGUGGAGCGAAUCCUUUCAAAGCCGGUCUCAGUUCGGAUCGGGGUCUGCAACUCGACCCCGUGAAGUCGGAGUCGCUAGUAAUCGCAGAUCAGCAACGCUGCGGUGAAUACGUUCCCGGGCCUUGUACACACCGCCCGUCACGUCAUGAAAGUCGGUAACACCCGAAGCCGGUGGCCUAACCCUUGNGG
Molecule: ribosomal RNA, 1080 nt
Filed under: Mycolicibacterium porcinum
Lineage: Bacteria; Bacillati; Actinomycetota; Actinomycetes; Mycobacteriales; Mycobacteriaceae
Description: partial 16S ribosomal RNA
Rfam family: Bacterial small subunit ribosomal RNA
Source: RNAcentral